AGGGAAGGCGGGGGGCAGGCCUAACACAUGCAAGUCGAACGGUAACAGGAAACAGCUUGCUGUUUCGCUGACGAGUGGCGGACGGGUGAGUAAUGUCUGGGAAACUGCCUGAUGGAGGGGGAUAACUACUGGAAACGGUAGCUAAUACCGCAUAACGUCGCAAGACCAAAGAGGGGGACCUUCGGGCCUCUUGCCAUCGGAUGUGCCCAGAUGGGAUUAGCUAGUAGGUGGGGUAACGGCUCACCUAGGCGACGAUCCCUAGCUGGUCUGAGAGGAUGACCAGCCACACUGGAACUGAGACACGGUCCAGACUCCUACGGGAGGCAGCAGUGGGGAAUAUUGCACAAUGGGCGCAAGCCUGAUGCAGCCAUGCCGCGUGUAUGAAGAAGGCCUUCGGGUUGUAAAGUACUUUCAGCGGGGAUGAAGGGAGUAAAGUUAAUACCUUUGCUCAUUGACGUUACCCGCAGAAGAAGCACCGGCUAACUCCGUG
This 490-nucleotide ribosomal RNA is filed under the name uncultured bacterium. Its description in RNAcentral is "partial 16S ribosomal RNA". It matches the Rfam family "Bacterial small subunit ribosomal RNA", at positions 31 to 507 of the family's 1533-position model. The record is from RNAcentral.